CUUUUACUGUAAGGUACCGAACUUCUAAAAUCAUGAGGUUACGGUAUCCAUUUGGUUGGAGAGCCAUUUGAUGGUUCCGGUAAGGUUGCGGUGUAAUGUAACAUACCGGAUUUUAAAUAUAAAGGUGUAAAUAAAUAAAAAUAGUAUGAGAUACUAUUUUAUUGGAUUUAGAGAAGCAAAAUAUAGAUUGGAAAUGACCUGUGCUGAAAUCGGAGCGAAAACAGAAGAUUUAGAAUUUUCUGUGAGAAGCGGAGCAGAUAAAUUAGCAGAAAAUGCACAGUGUCCGAAAAUUAUGAAAAUUGGCAGAGAUGUCAGAAAUAUUUUUAUGAGGCUAGAUUUAAGGUUUCAUAUUUUUCUGACACCCGUAGAGUGAGAAAUAAAAUCCGAAAGCUAUCUGAUAAAGAUUGCAGUUCGACAUAGUUUUCGCUGACCAAACGAAGUCGAAACUGAAAACUUAAGAUAUAUUCUUACUCAGUACGUUAAACCGAGACUGCCUGUCAAAUUUGAGCGCAAACGGACAUUCAGAAGGGUUCCGACGGAACUUAUCAGAUUUGAGGGACUAAACUGAAAAGUA
This 574-nucleotide long non-coding RNA is filed under the name Ananas comosus (pineapple). Its description in RNAcentral is "long non-coding RNA (ACOM_LNC043108)". The record is from RNAcentral. Lineage: Eukaryota; Viridiplantae; Streptophyta; Magnoliopsida; Poales; Bromeliaceae.